RNAcentral lists this long non-coding RNA (4315 nucleotides) under Chlamydomonas reinhardtii. RNAcentral describes it as "long non-coding RNA (CREI_LNC000252)". Lineage: Eukaryota; Viridiplantae; Chlorophyta; Chlorophyceae; Chlamydomonadales; Chlamydomonadaceae. The record is from RNAcentral.
CGCCCCCCCCUCCCCUCUCUUGCACCGCGGGCGGGGCGCCUGAGGGGGGAGGGGCAAGCCGGGGUACUGCGUAGCGGUAGGGGUUUGUGAUAAAUGACGGGUUGUUAUGGGGAUAAAUGCAUGUGCCUCAUCAUAUUGCAAACCAUCCACGGGGCUGGGAAUGGCGGCGUGCAACGACGUGCACGGCCACUCGGUGUCCCCAUUCAAUUGCAUUGCUAGAUGUGGGACGCACAGGCGGCACCGGUACCAUGAGUUGCUUUCAUGCUGGGCUGCGGUCGCACUGGUUGUUACGGCUCAGCUCAGGGCGUCACAUAUACCGUAUGACGGCACUGAUGCUGCACGGGAGCUGCAAUUCCUCCCCUGGUGAGCUGCGUGGCGGAACGACACUGAACAAGUGCUGGCGCAUAGGUGUCGUGUGUCCUCCAGGCCGCGGCCACUGUGUGCCGUGCGCGCCACCGCGGAUGCCUUGACCCCAGCCCUCGCAUACGGGACCGUGACCGUGGCGCACACAGGUGUCAUGACUUGGCGCGUGACCGUGCGUAUCGUGUGACUGGGUGGUUCGGGUGUGGUUCUGGCGUGUGGGAAGAAGGGAACGUGCCCGAGGCUGGUUGGCCCGACACGGUGUAUUGCAUGGGAGGCCGGAGUACGGGUGACGAUAAAGGUCGCGUUUGAGCGCGGCUAGAGCCGUCCGCCCGUCCCUCAUUCCGAUCCUAGGCGUAUACCGUAGUCUUUGACCGUUCAAUGUGAGGGACCCGUCCUAGUGGACGUAACACUCAGAGGCAACAAUAUGUAAGGCAGAACGUGAUCGUCUGGCGCCGCCCUCUCACUCCUACGCAUACGCUCCAGGCCGCCUACACCGUAGCCAACACGGCCAUUGAAGAGGCUGACAGAACAGAUCUGAAAACAUCGAGUCGCCAUCAGGCACGCUGAACGUGCAGUGUCCUAUCAUAGGGCGCGACACAGGGGCAUCACCGUCAUUGGCAGAAGUACUGCACCGUGGAUCCACAGCGUUGUGUGCUCACCACGGCGCAGGCCGGUGAUAGGUGAUACCACAACGCUAACCAACGAGAGAUGUCUCAGGACUCAGGAUCGCAGAGGCGAGGGACGAGCGGGCACGUCCUGCGGUGCUUACCCACGGUCGGGGCCGUAGAAGGCCUCAUUGCUGGCCUUGCUCCACCAGCCAGCCUUCGCACUGCAAGGAGCAGAUGCGAGCACCCGAUUUCGUAGCCCGCCCUGUUGACACACGCGAAACCCUAUCCCCCAACACCUAACACUCUAGCUGGGCAGUUGCCCAAGCCCCCGCGUUCAGGCUGCAGCUGCUGAGCUGCUGCCCGUGUGCUGCCGGCGUGCCCAGCACCAUGGCCCACGGGAGCACACCCUGCGCUCCGUCCAGACUGGCGCCUCGGUGUCGCGCUUGCACUGCAGAGCAUUCAAACCUUCACAACCCGCGCAAGAAGGCCCAGCGGGGCCUUGAGCCGCGCGGUAAUCGCGACAUGUCGCGAUGUUCGUGCAAGCACACCCGCAGUUUGGCGACUUGCUGCAAUCAAUCGAAACAUUAGAUUGUACUCAUGCGCUAGGAGAUGCCGAGGCAGUGAUUUGCGCGCCAACGCAAUGGAUACGCGCUGCAUGAGGCUCGUGCACGACAGAUCCCCGCGACUCGCUUGCGGACUUCAGGCGCGCGCGCUCCAGCAUACUCUGUGCCCUGUCCAACUCACCGAGUACCGUGUAUACGUAUAUCUGCAAAUAUGAUGCUGUCUCGCACCGUCGUCAACGUUCAGGUGAGUCGCGCCAUCGCCGGGACCGUGCGCAGUGCGUCGACAGCCACCGCCUGAGUCAGCGCGGCAAUGGUGCAAGUGCUACAUGCACAUGUGACUUACGCGCGGGAGAUGUCCAAAAGACCAGCUCUAGUCGUUGCCUCGCCCCGUCAUCUGACCUUUUUGGUUUGCUUUUCGCGGGCAUGCGCCAGCUGCGUGAUCCACGCUCAUGGCGCUCGCAAGUUUAAGACAAGAGCGAGCUACAUCACCCAUGGCCGUUCUCGCAUAUGCUUGCCUUCCAACAUCGCGCCCUCCGCUUCGGUCGCUGUCGACGCUGGCCUGCUACAGGCCAAGCUCACCAAGAAGGGUGGUGCGCCCAAGAAGGCCGCUCCCGCCUCGGCCCAGAAGAAGACCAUCCGGUGCGUGGAAGCGUAGUUGCGAGGCCCAGGUCGAAUGUGCCGGGGCACAUGGAUAUCCGGAGCGCGCGCUUCCCCGCCGCUUCUACCCGCCCGCAUGUGUUAGCAUUGCUGGUUUGCGUCGCUUGCGACCAGCCUAUCAUGGAACAUGGGCUUAAGCAUGCAAGCGCGGCUUCAUGCGAGUCGCUCCUGAUCCGACAACAACUCCGAGACGUGUCUCUAACCUUCACUUCUUAACCAUUACGCUCGCAUUGCCUCCCUGCAGUGAGAAGGCUGGCUGGUGGAGCAACGGCGGCAAUGAGAAGCUGUCGGCUUUCUACGGCCCUGACCGUGGGUAAGCACCGCAGCACGUGCCCGCUCGUCCUUCUUCGUCUACGCAACCCGCGGCCUCUCGCUCGCGCAUGACCAUGGUUUCUGCAUUUCCCUAAUCGCGCCGUUGCUCUGUACAUUUGUUCCUGCCUGCAGUCUGUGGCUGGGCCCCCUGAGCGGCACCACUCCCGCCUACCUGACUGGCGAGUUCCCCGGCGACUACGGCUGGGACUCCGCCGGUCUGUCGGCUGACCCCGAGACCUUCAAGCGCUACCGCGAGCUGGAGCUGAUCCACGCCCGCUGGGCUAUGCUGGGCGCUCUGGGCUGCAUCACCCCCGAGCUGCUGGCCAAGAACGGUGCGUGAUUUGCGUCCCGAACGGCGAACUGGCAGCCACUGGGUAUUCCCCUGCACAACUUUUCCAUGCACUCCGCCCUCCUCCCAAAAGCCGCUUUAUUAAGGUCUCUUUCACUUCCUGUGUCGGUCCACAGGCACCCCCAUCGUUGAGCCCGUGUGGUUCAAGGCUGGUGCUCAGAUCUUCGCCGAGGGCGGCCUGGACUACCUGGGCAACCCCGGCCUGGUGCACGCCCAGUCCAUCCUGGCCACCCUGGCGGUGCAGGUCAUUCUGAUGGGCGCUAUUGAGGGCUACCGCGUCAACGGCGGCCCCGCUGGCGAGGGCCUGGUGAGUGCUUGCGGCAAAAGGGUUGGUGAUGUGUGAUGGGGCUGCGUAUGUACACGCUGCUGUGCAUAAUUUAGGUCAUGGAAUGAUAUAGCUUGUUGCUAACCUGAAUGCUUUCGUAACCCCAACAGGACAAGCUGCACCCCGGCGGCCAGUUCUUCGACCCCCUGGGCCUGGCUGAGGACCCCGAUGCUUUCGCUGAGCUGAAGGUGAAGGAGAUCAAGAACGGCCGCCUGGCCAUGUUCUCCAUGUUCGGCUUCUUCGUCCAGGCCAUCGUGACCGGCAAGGGCCCCCUGGCCAACCUGGACGAGCACCUGGCGUCUCCCUUCACCUCCAACGCCUUCACCUACGCCCAGAAGUUCACCCCUCAGUAAUGCCCCUUCACUUGGCUGGCAGCUGUUGAUGGCGCGUUUGCUGAUGGCAAAUUAUUUGGGUCAGAAGUGGUGUAGACGUGGCGUGGCCAGUUUAGUGCUACAUGUCUACCGUGUAUGACCCGCGUUUUCUUUCCAUCUCCCCUUCCCACCCAUCAUUGUUAUUCGGGACACACCGAACAAAAGCCCUCCACAUGCUCCUGAGGCUGUGAACGCCUCAGGUACCUAAGUGCGCUUGCUUGCCCCUAACUUGCAGCGGGCACGUGUAUGAUCUUGUGUCUUUUGUUUGGUAUGGUUUUUGUUUGUACACGUACAUACCGUGGACCGAGUGUGUGUGCAAAGGGAGCAGUUCGCAAGUUUGCGUGGCGAGAGGCAACCGAGAAGAGAAUCAACCCCCCCGCUUGCAUGGUGUCAAAGUGUGCUUCCUAAGGGUCUGGUAUUGGGCCUCGUGCACACUGUAACCAUGCCCCCAUCUCUCUUCGGCCGCGCUCCUCGUCCAUUGGAGAGAGGGAGGGAUGGAAGGUUCACCUCGAUGACAGGUCAGGACGUGUUGGCCAUUCUUCACACAGAUUCCAGUCAUCCCCUCGUUCGACCCUUACCUAAUUAGCAUGGGGUUGGCAGGCCUGGCUGCGCGAACUCACGGAACGUCGCCAUCAGGAAAGAGCGGAGGGUUGUCAUGCAUCGGCACGUAAGAUACCGCAGUUAUUGAGCAGUGUUGCGGAACUAAUGCGUACGUAGACCAGAGCGGAAGUUAUUCCGCCUGCGCGGUGCCUUGACGUGCAGCAUAC